Molecule: ribosomal RNA, 501 nt
Filed under: uncultured bacterium
Lineage: Bacteria
Description: partial 16S ribosomal RNA
Rfam family: Bacterial small subunit ribosomal RNA
Source: RNAcentral
AUUGAACGCUGGCGGCAUGCCUUACACAUGCAAGUCGAACGGCAGCACGGGUGCUUGCACCUGGUGGCGAGUGGCGAACGGGUGAGUAAUAUAUCGGAACGUACCUUAUUGUGGGGGAUAACGCAGCGAAUGCUGUGCUAAUACCGCAUAAUCCCGAAGGGGGAAAGCGGGGGACCGUAAGGCCUCGCGCAAUUAGAGCGGCCGAUACCUGAUUAGCUAGUUGGUGAGGUAAAGGCUCACCAAGGCAACGAUCAGUAGCUGGUCUGAGAGGACGAUCAGCCACACUGGGACUGAGACACGGCCCAGACUCCUACGGGAGGCAGCAGUGGGGAAUUUUGGACAAUGGGGGCAACCCUGAUCCAGCAAUGCCGCGUGAGUGAAGAAGGCCUUCGGGUUGUAAAGCUCUUUUGUCAGGGAAGAAACAGCAGCUCUAACACAGUUUGCGAAUGACGGUACCUGAAGAAUAAGCACCGGCUAACUACGUGCCAGCAGCCGCCGUAA